CGCGCAGGCGGCCUUUUAAGUUGGAUGUGAAAGCCUAUGGCUCAACCAUAGAACUGCAUCCAAAACUAUUAGGCUAGAGUGUGGGAGAGGAAGAUGGAAUUAGUUGUGUAGGGGUAAAAUCCGUAGAGAUAACUAGGAAUACCAAAAGCGAAGGCAAUCUUCUGGAACAUUACGGACGCUGAGGCGCGAAAGCGUGGGGAGCAAACAGGAUUAGAUACCCUGGUAGUCC
Molecule: ribosomal RNA, 229 nt
Filed under: uncultured bacterium
Lineage: Bacteria
Description: partial 16S ribosomal RNA
Rfam family: Bacterial small subunit ribosomal RNA
Source: RNAcentral